AUUGAACGCUGGCGGCAGGCCUAACACAUGCAAGUCGAACGGUAGCACAGAGAGCUUGCUCUCGGGUGACGAGUGGCGGACGGGUGAGUAACGUCUGGGAAACUGCCCGAUGGAGGGGGAUAACUACUGGAAACGGUAGCUAAUACCGCAUAACGUCGCAAGACCAAAGUGGGGGACCUUCGAGCCUCACACCAUCGGAUGUGCCCAGAUGGGAUUAGCUAGUGGGUGGGGUAAUGGCGCACCUAGGCGACGAUCCCUAGCUGGUCUGAGAGGAUGCUCGGCCACACUGGAACGGAGACACGGUCCAGAGGCCUACGGGAGGCAGCAGGGGGGAAUAUUGCACAAUGGGCGCAAGCCUGAUGCAGCCAUGCCGCGUGUAUGAAGAAGGCAUUCGGGUUGUAAAGUACUUUCAGCGGGGAGGAAGGCGGUGGAGUUAAUAACUUCACCGAUUGACGUUACCCGCAGAAGAAGCACCGGCUAACUCCGUGCCAGCAGCCGCCGUAA
This 504-nucleotide ribosomal RNA is filed under the name uncultured bacterium. RNAcentral describes it as "partial 16S ribosomal RNA". It matches the Rfam family "Bacterial small subunit ribosomal RNA", at positions 29 to 523 of the family's 1533-position model. The record is from RNAcentral.